AGGAAGGUGUCCUUGGUUUCAACCUG
RNAcentral lists this non-coding RNA (26 nucleotides) under Homo sapiens (human). The record is from RNAcentral. Lineage: Eukaryota; Metazoa; Chordata; Mammalia; Primates; Hominidae.